This is a long non-coding RNA of Rattus norvegicus (Norway rat), 1564 nucleotides long. RefSeq lists it as uncharacterized. NCBI's taxonomy places the organism in Eukaryota, Metazoa, Chordata, Mammalia, Rodentia, Muridae. The record is from RefSeq and is a predicted model, not a curated record.
UCCAAACCAACAAAUCCUACCAAGGAUAGAUCACACAUUUGGGGAAGGGUGAGGGGAAACACUAGAAAUUUUCUAAAAAAGGAAACUUGGAUUCGGAGGCAGCAAGCUCUAAACUGAGUCUGUACAAAUGGUGAUCUGGGGUACACCCUGCUGCCGCCGCCUAUCUUUUAACAGAUAUGUCCCUUCAGUUCUCUACUUUGAGCCUUAUUCACUGUGUGUCCCCUCCAUAGAAUACAUAGCUUGGCUUAUAUAGGUUUAUCUGUACUGAACAUGUACUGUAUCUUCCAUGAUAUAAGACAAUACACUGAUAAGGAUCACACUUGGUGUCUCUCUAGGAUAGCUCUAAGAAACCAGGAGAAAGCCGGGGCUCACAUUAAAUGGUGUAAAAAUGCCAGGACUUCUGUGGUAGAAUAUGGUAUAAGAGACAUGGCUCAAAAGAAGUGGGCUAGGUGUCAUGGAUGCCUAGCACUCAGUAGUAGGACUAGAGGGCUGGAAAUUAAAUGAUAGCUUGGCCUACAUACUGAGAUUCUAUCUCAAAACAAGAAAUAAAAGUAGGUUUAUCUAUCAGUUAGCAUUGUCAAUUUAACACAGCUUAGCCGUCUGAAAAGAGAUUCUUUUUCACUUGAGGGAUUGUCUAGGUUAGAUUGGCCUGUGGAGGAUUGUCUCGAUUGUUAAUGGGUGCAGGAGAGCCUGGCCCACUAUGGGCAGCAACAUUCCCUAGGCAGGUGGUCUGGGUUGUAUAGGAAAACUAAGCACAAACCUGUAUCUUACCAGGGAUUGCUCACUAGCCAGUCUAGCCGACAUAGUGAGUCCUAGAAUCAGUCAGAGACUGUCUCAAAAAAAUACAGCGAAGAGAAAAAGAGUAAAAGAACCAUAUUGACCUGUGGCUCACACACACACACACACACACACACACACACACACACACACACUUAACUAUAGCAUGUUGGUCAAAGGGAUCAGAAAACUAAAUGAAGAGAUAAUCACAGCGGUAAGGAUGUCUUUGAGGUUCUCUAUUGGAACAUAAUCAUUUGGUGGCUUUCUGACUUCACAUUCCAUUCCCUCACAUGCUGUUCUAGUUUCCUUCCUGUUGCUGAGCAAGCAGCAUCGGGGAGGGAAGGGAUUACAUGGCUCACGCUUCAGGUCACAGUCCAUCACUGAGGGAUGUCAGGGAGUAUGGAGCAGAAACCAUGGAAGAAUGCUACUUGCUUUCCUCACUCCUGUGUCCUAGCAUCUAGACCCAACUGUCCUUCCCAUCCAUCCCCAGUCUGUACAGUCCGGCUCAGCACUCUAGUAUCUCUAGGGUGGUUGUGAGUCCCCAUGUGGCAGUUGAGCUGUCCUGGAAAGGGCCCAACCGGAACAACCAGGCGCCAAAGGUUCAGCUCAUGUGGAGUUGGCUCCUGGGCAAGUCCAUAAGAGUUGCCAGCUGAAGAGAAAAACCACAAAAUGGUUUGCCCUGAAGCCUUUUCUGAUGUGUGGUCAAGAGUGCGCUGCAGCCUUUCUCCGCCCCUACUACCCUCCCCAUCCCCUGAAUAAACUCUAUUCUAUACUAAGAAAAACAAAA